Molecule: ribosomal RNA, 253 nt
Filed under: uncultured bacterium
Lineage: Bacteria
Description: partial 16S ribosomal RNA
Rfam family: Bacterial small subunit ribosomal RNA
Source: RNAcentral
CACGUAGGGGACGAGCGUUGUCCGGAUUCAUUGGGCGUAAAGCGCGCGUAGGCGGCUCGGAAAGUCGGGCGUGAAAUGCCGGGGCUCAACCCCGGGACUGCGUCCGAUACUUCCGAGCUGGAGGUAGGUAGGGGAGAUCGGAAUUCCUGGUGUAGCGGUGAAGUGCGCAGAUAUCAGGAGGAACACCGGUGGCGAAGGCGGAUCUCUGGGCCUUACCUGACGCUGAGGCGCGAAAGCUAGGGGAGCGAACAGG